This 468-nucleotide ribosomal RNA is filed under the name uncultured bacterium. Its description in RNAcentral is "partial 16S ribosomal RNA". It matches the Rfam family "Bacterial small subunit ribosomal RNA", at positions 28 to 507 of the family's 1533-position model. The record is from RNAcentral.
GACGAACGCUGGCGGCGUGCUUAACACAUGCAAGUCGAACGAAAAGGCCCUGCUUUUGUGGGGUGCUCGAGUGGCGAACGGGUGAGUAACACGUGAGUAACCUGCCCUUGACUUUGGGAUAACUUCAGGAAACUGGGGCUAAUACCGGAUAGGAGCUCCUGCUGCAUGGUGGGGGUUGGAAAGUUUCGGCGGUUGGGGAUGGACUCGCGGCUUAUCAGCUUGUUGGUGGGGUAGUGGCUUACCAAGGCUUUGACGGGUAGCCGGCCUGAGAGGGUGACCGGCCACAUUGGGACUGAGAUACGGCCCAGACUCCUACGGGAGGCAGCAGGGGGGAAUAUUGCACAAUGAGCGGAAGCCUGAUGCAGCAACGCCGCGUGCGGGAUGACGGCCUUCGGGUUGUAAACCGCUUUCGCCUGUGACGAAGCGUGAGUGACGGUAAUGGGUAAAGAAGCACCGGCUAACUACGUG